This 213-nucleotide long non-coding RNA is filed under the name Sorghum bicolor (sorghum). RNAcentral's name for it is "long non-coding RNA (SBIC_LNC004323)". The record is from RNAcentral. Lineage: Eukaryota; Viridiplantae; Streptophyta; Magnoliopsida; Poales; Poaceae.
UUCGAUGUGAUAAAAUAUUUUAAAAAGUUUUUUUUUUGUUAUUGAGGUAAACUAAACAAGCCCUUGAUCUCAAGCAAAAGACACAAUUCAAUUAAGUACACGAUUACUGUCAUACAUCGAUGAGAUGACAUGGACAGAUGGUAUUUUGAGAGGAGUGCACGAAUAUGCGGAGUUUGGUGCGGGAGAUCAUUCCUUGCAAGAUACCACGAGGCA